Cricetulus griseus (Chinese hamster) is the source of this 107-nucleotide small nuclear RNA. The record is from Ensembl. Lineage: Eukaryota; Metazoa; Chordata; Mammalia; Rodentia; Cricetidae.
GUGCUUGCUUCAGCAGCACACAUACUAAAAUUGGAAUGAUACAGAGAAGAUUAGCAUGGCCUCUGAGCAAGAGUGACAUGCAAAUUCAUGAAGCAUUCCAUAUUUAA